AGCGAACGCUGGCGGCAUGCCUUACACAUGCAAGUCGAACGGCAGCAUAGGAGCUUGCUCCUGAUGGCGAGUGGCGAACGGGUGAGUAAUAUAUCGGAACGUGCCCUAGAGUGGGGGAUAACUAGUCGAAAGAUUAGCUAAUACCGCAUACGAUCUAAGGAUGAAAGUGGGGGAUCGCAAGACCUCAUGCUCGUGGAGCGGCCGAUAUCUGAUUAGCUAGUUGGUGGGGUAAAAGCUCACCAAGGCGACGAUCAGUAGCUGGUCUGAGAGGACGACCAGCCACACUGGGACUGAGACACGGCCCAGACUCCUACGGGAGGCAGCAGUGGGGAAUUUUGGACAAUGGGGGCAACCCUGAUCCAGCAAUGCCGCGUGAGUGAAGAAGGCCUUCGGGUUGUAAAGCUCUUUUGUCAGGGAAGAAACGGUGAGAGCUAAUAUCUCUUGCUAAUGACGGUACCUGAAGAAUAAGCACCGGCUAACUACGUGCCAGCCGCCGCCGUAA
RNAcentral lists this ribosomal RNA (502 nucleotides) under uncultured bacterium. Its description in RNAcentral is "partial 16S ribosomal RNA". It matches the Rfam family "Bacterial small subunit ribosomal RNA", at positions 29 to 523 of the family's 1533-position model. The record is from RNAcentral.